Molecule: ribosomal RNA, 255 nt
Filed under: uncultured bacterium
Lineage: Bacteria
Description: partial 16S ribosomal RNA
Rfam family: Bacterial small subunit ribosomal RNA
Source: RNAcentral
CACGUAGGGUGCGAGCGUUGUCCGGAAUUAUUGGGCGUAAAGAGCUCGUAGGCGGUUUGUCGCGUCUGCUGGUGAAAACUGGAGGCUCAACCUCCAGCCUGCAGUGGGUACGGGCAAACUAGAGUGCGGGUAGGGGAGAUUGGAAUUCCUGGUGUAGCGGUGGAAUGCGCAGAUAUCAGGAGGAACACCGAUGGCGAAGGCAGAUCUCUGGGCCGUAACUGACGCUGAGGAGCGAAAGCAUGGGGAGCGAACAGG